Mus musculus (house mouse) is the source of this 2057-nucleotide long non-coding RNA. RefSeq annotates it as mitochondrial sheath formation associated divergent transcript. NCBI's taxonomy places the organism in Eukaryota, Metazoa, Chordata, Mammalia, Rodentia, Muridae. The transcript has 2 exons. The record is from RefSeq and is marked validated.
AAGGCAAAACCUUGGGGAAGCCGUGAACUAAGCUACUGUGUGUUUCCGGAAGAUUUUGCCUCAAUGAUGCUCGUCUUUUUUCUUUUUCUUUUAAUGUUUUAUUUAUAUUGUUUUCUUUUAUUUUUAAAAAGCCAAGACUUUUAUAUAUUAUUUUUUUAAUUGGGGGAACGGGUCUCUAGUAGAUGGGCCUGGGGCCUCACCGCACAGCUUGUUCAUUGGCACUGCCCCCAGAAUCCUGUGGCUUCGUCACAUAUGGACGCUCCAGAGGACUAGAAAAGGGGUGGCUGCGCAGAGCUUCCAGGGCGUCAUCUGCUCAGAAGGCCAGGCCCACCGUGGCUGGGGCCAGGAGCUGUGCUGUCUGACUAGUGACGCCAAACUCACUCAGAGUUUUCCUGUCAUGAAGGAGUUGGUCCUUGUAUAGCUUCUGCUUCUCCCGCGGCUGCUUAGGGAUGCCCUGGACGUUAAGCUUCAGCUCGAACACCGUGCUCGACUCCUUGACUUCAGUGAAGAUGGUGGUCUUAUGGCUCCCGAUCAUGAGAAACGCGUCCUGAAGACACCAGGCUGACAUCAGUGCUUGUCUGAAGCAACCUGCCGGGCCCCAGAGCCCCUGAAGCCCCACCCCCCCGCCAGCCCUGCGCCGCUCCUCCGGUGCCCGCUCACCUAUGUUUUAUCUUUGAUGUUAUAUGCAUCGGUGUUUUGCUUGCAUGUCUGUCUGCCUGGGUGCGGUUAUCAGAUGUCCUGGAACUGGUUAUGGACAAUUUUUGAGCUGCCAUGUAGGUGCUUGGAAUUGAACCCAGGUCUUCUGGAAGAGCAACCAGUGCCGCUAACCACUGAGCCAUCUCUAGAGCCCCUGCUUGGUUUUUUGUUUUGUUUUUUGUUUUUUUCUUGAUCACUGAAAGUUUCUCCGCUCCAGUGACCAGCAUCAAGUAUCACAGCAAAGCAAAGGUUUCAUCUAGUGGCCUGGUAUCUUGUGAACCACAGCUGAUUCUCCAAACCUCACUUAAUCAGAACCACCAGGAAGGAUCUUGGCAAGACCGGAGAGCCUGCUGAUACUCAGGAUCUGGUUCCAGAACUGAUGUGCUAGAGAGUACCAGAAGAAGGCUCAAAAACUACCCGGGAAGCCUGGAUGUGGGACUCAAGAUAGGCCUACAGACCCCAAAGGCUGGGAACUUCCUGUUUCCUCUGCCAGUGCAGUUUCUUUGUGCCAGAAACAUGUGGAAGUCUGCUGUCCUCAACUCAGUCCACCGAGUACCUCCCCAGACCAGGAAUCCAUCUUCUCCAACACUGAUCCAGCCUGUACGGAGCUCUACCCAAAAAUACAAGAUCUAGGCAGCAGAGGGAAAAAGCUAUAGUAAAACUGUGGAAGCAAGGCCAGAGUACUGUGCUAGAUCUGCAGCCCCAAAGGCAGCGCCUUUCCCCUGGCCUCUGACUGUGGGCAUUCCUUGUCCCAGAGACACUGUCUUGAUUGUUCUCCUCCGCUUAGCCCUCCAAAUAUUUCCCCAGGCUCAGAGUCCACGUUUCCUAUGUGGGGAGAGACCACCAUGUGUCAGCCCUCCUCCCCCACUAAGCUCUGUAUGUUCUGGAAUCUGUCUUCUCCAUUGCUCAGACCAACAAGAGUCUCUCAUGUGAAGCCCUGGUGUCUGUACAGGUUGACCAAGCCGCACUAGACACAAUCGCAGACCAAUCAGCAGCAGCUUAUGCAAUAGCUACACACCCGGCUCUACCCCAAGACCUUCCUUAAAGGAGCUCCAAACGCCAUCAUAGCUUCAGAAGCUCCGGUGGUAGCUGUGAAGGUAGCUAGAAGCCCAAGGGAAACUCCAUUCAAAGGGGGGGGGGUAUUUUUUAAAUUUUUUCAAAUUUGAUUUUAUAUUAAAUAUUUUUACUACAUAGAAAAUAUACGGCUAUUUUAAUAUAACAUUUUUACUGGUUCUUAGAAUGUUAGAUCAAACGCCACCUGGUCAUAUUCAUUUUCCCCAUCCUUCCAAAUCCACCCAAACUUGUAACCUUCCAUAACAAAAAUAGUUAAAAAAUAAAAUAAAAUAAAAACAAAAACAGGA